This 440-nucleotide ribosomal RNA is filed under the name uncultured Alphaproteobacteria bacterium. RNAcentral's name for it is "bacterial SSU rRNA". It matches the Rfam family "Bacterial small subunit ribosomal RNA", at positions 338 to 795 of the family's 1533-position model. The record is from RNAcentral. Lineage: Bacteria; Pseudomonadati; Pseudomonadota; Alphaproteobacteria.
CCUACGGGUGGCUGCAGUGGGGAAUAUUGGACAAUGGGGGAAACCCUGAUCCAGCCAUGCCGCGUGAAUGAUGAAGGCCUUCGGGUUGUAAAGUUCUUUUGGAGGGGACGAUGAUGACGGUACCAUCAGAAUAAGCUCCGGCUAACUUCGUGCCAGCAGCCGCGGUAAUACGAAGGGAGCUAGCGUUGUUCGGAAUUACUGGGCGUAAAGGGCGCGUAGGCGGUUUGGUCAGUCAGAUGUGAAAGCCCAGGGCUUAACCCUGGAACUGCGUUUGAUACUGCCAAGCUUGAAUUCGGGAGAGGUGAGUGGAAUUCCCAGUGUAGAGGUGAAAUUCGUAGAUAUUGGGAAGAACACCGGUGGCGAAGGCGGCUCACUGGACCGACAUUGACGCUGAGGCGCGAAAGCGUGGGGAGCAAACAGGAUUAGAUACCCUAGUAGUC